Molecule: long non-coding RNA, 4424 nt
Organism: Myotis myotis
Lineage: Eukaryota; Metazoa; Chordata; Mammalia; Chiroptera; Vespertilionidae
Exons: 4
Source: RefSeq, a predicted model, not a curated record
CUAUUUUCUACCUUUGGGUGGAUUUACAGGUAGUAGUUAUUACAGUGAUUUUUCUACCUAUUUCUUGACUGUGACUGUGAUAUUAACCUUUUAUAAUUAAGACGCUCUGUCUCUUUGACACAUAGCAUGCCCUUUUAGUUCGUCUUAAUUUUUUUAACCUCCAGUCAUUUUUUAAAAAUUGUAUCCAUUUACUCAUGUACCACUUCAUUGGUACCUUCAAAUGCUAAAUGCUGUCUCAUUUAUCCUUAGUAAUCAUGCUGGAUUUUUCUGUCCUUUUUAAUAUUUAGGUUUUAUUGGAUGAAUGUAGAUUGCACCUUCUCUAACUGUGUCUUAAAUAAUUGCCACUUAAGGGAAUUAAGAACUACAAGGGAAGGAAAAUGCUGACCCAUAGACUAAGCAGAGGGAGAAAACGUUCCCACUGGGUCCAAUUUCCUAAGAAGGACCAUCAGGAUAGUGGCUGGGACCUGAAAUUAUGGUCUGAAUGACCUCUAGCAAAUGUUCAGCUCACAAAGGAACUUGCCUGUGUGUGCACCAAGCAAAAUAGGGCUAGGUGGUAGUCACCCCACUGAAGAAAGACAGCUAGCUCCCUGUCCUUGGCAAGGUUAUAAAAGCUCGAGGAGAAAAAAUAAUCAUUUAGAGCAUGGAGACAGAGUUGACAUUGCAGGAUAAGACGUGAUCCAAGGUUUAAUACAAGCUAGCGCAGGGAUGCCUUUGAUCCAGAAGGUAGGUCAAGAAGUCCCUUAAAUUCUAAACAUGCACUUUUGAUCAUGUCAUCUGUUUAUUAUUUUAGGACAUAGUUUCUGUUGUUUGCAAUACCUAGACAUUUAUCUAAACAGGCAUACUUAAGCAUCCUUAGACUGCCACACUCCACAUUUCUCUUAUAUUUUACUCUGUAAGCUGGACUCUUGAGAAUGAAUAUGUUGGAAAAUUAGAAUUGAAAUACAAGAAAAUUGAUCUUUUGUUAUUUUAGUUAAAACUUUCUAUAUUGACAGAUAAUCACUAUGAUAUUUUCUAUUUAAAUACAAAGUGUAAGAUAGCAGGUAGAUUUUUUAAUGUAUAAUGAUAUUCAGUAGCUCAGUAAUAACUUGACAUCAGAAGUCCAAUUAGGACUAUUGUGUUUCCAAGUCUUUUACUUAUAAACCUCAAACACUUAAUAAUUGAAGUGUGAAGAAGAAAGGCAAUGAUGUCAAUUAAUAAAAAAGGCAUUAUAUCUUUGUUCUAAAAAUAUUCACAUGAAAUAUUCACUUUCAUUUUAAAUUCUUACAUAGUCAAGUGAUGAUAAAGAUAAAUGUCAUAAUAUAUAUAUGACCUCAGGGUUUCAUAAGACAUGAAGAACUGAACUAGAUAGGAAAAGAUAAGUAAACAAAGUUUUACAAUCAAUUAUGAGAAAAUAUUGACAACAUGUAGGACAGAGAUAGGAUUAAUAUAGCCCAGUAUUCACUCUGAAGGUCACUAUUCCUGAUUCACAGAAACCUCUCUCAAAUUGAUUUUUUUUUUUUUAAAAAAAAGGCAAAUUGCAAUAGGCAUUUUAAAAUUCAGAUUAUCAGUAAGUAUAUACAAAGAUGUUUAACCUCAUUAAUUAUCAGUACCUCAAGACAAUAAGAUGCCAAUUUUUAUCCAUUGGCAGGAACCUGAAAGGUUGAGAAUAACCAGUGAUUGAGCACUUGUUGGAAAAUUGGAAAUCUCAUAUGUUCCAGGCGUGAGAGUAUGUUGUUAACACUAUUGGAAACACAUUGGAGUUCUUUUACAGCUGCUACCUUGUGCAUGAGCAUUCAUUUUCCAUGUGAAGAUUGAAUUAUUUGUCUAAGUCACUGCCCUACUGAAAUUUCACAGUAUAUUUGAGGGGAACUGGACCACGAACACACAGGUUGUUUGUUCUUCAUGGAGGCUCAGACAUGGAUCUACUGAUGAGCGAGAUCACAAAUGCAGCUACAACAAUCAAAGUCUUGGGAGAACCAGAAUGUACCUCAUAAAGUAACUAGAAUGAAGAGCCUAGUGUGUGAGUGGAAUCUUCCAGCCUGAAAUCCAUUCUCUUGACAAACAGGAUUUGAGACUUUAAAGCAAGUUUGGAAUAUCCUUCUGCAAGAUGUAGUGGAAAUCCUAAUGCUAGAAGAACAAAUUGCUUGCCCAGCUCCAUGGAUCUCGGAGUGUCUGUAAGUGUUUUUAGAGCCACCCCCAGUCUUGUGUUGCUUGCGAUUUUUUUCUUCCCUCACACACCUCUUGCCCAUUUUAUUAUGCAUAUUUGAAGAAAAGGAAGAGUUUUGCUUCGUGAAAAGGAAGCGUGAAUCUCCUAGAAAACCACUCUUGUAGUUUAAAUAUUAUUUGAAUAUAUGGCAACUCUAAUUCUAAAAUUUAAAAAAAUAAAAAGAUUGAGUAAAUUCCUGAAUCAGUUCUAAAUGCCAUUCACAAUUUGACGAGUUUUCUGUAAGGAAGGCUUCAUUUCCCCUCAUUUUAUUAGUCUUACAUAUAAUACUGCUAAAAUUUUCUUCAUAAGCACCAGUGUCAAAUAAAUCUAAUUUUUUAUAUAGUUUUAAUUUAUUAAUUCUCUGUUGAUUGUCAUUAAUCUAAUUUUCUCCUCCUUUCUCUCCCUUCACCCCCCUCUUUUACAUAAGUACAAAGCCGGGUCUUAUAGUAAUAGCAUAAUAAUUAAAACUGCUUCCUUAAAGCGCCCCAUUCCUUACACUGCUAUUCCUCCUGCCAGAGCAGCCUGUUUGUGCUGUCUCCCCCCUCCCACUGCCUCUCUGGUUUCCCCUGCUCACCUGAAACCCUCAGAUGGCAACCAGUGACAGGCUCCCUGAGCACCCUGUUUCCUUCCACAAUUAAACACUGCUGCCAGAGGCCGGUCACUGGUGUGCACAACUCCCUCACCCCAAGUGAAUCAUUGUUAUGUGUGAGGUUUUAGGAUAUUAUUAAUUUACUGUGCAUCACCCUGUUUAGGAAUGUACAACAGAAAAGCAGCGAGACACAGGCCAGAGCACCUUAUAGAAUCAACUCAACUGAAAGAGGAAAGAGAACCAUUUCAAACCAUUCAUUCCAAAUUAGAGAAUCACUUUAAGUUUUGUGAAUAAUAGUGUGACUAAAUGUGAAAUUUUCAAAUUUCACAAAGCCAGACUUACUGUUAGAAUCAGGGAGGUUGUGCAAUUCUAAUAACUGUGGGAUGUAUUUUCUGCCCCAGCCCCCAGGAAGAAGUACAUCAUUUGAAUCACUCUUUUUUAUCAAACGUAUUAUUUGCUUUUCAGUUUCAAAUUUACUGAUUUAAAAGAUGUACUUUAUUUUGUGAAUUGUCAGAAAAUGUGAACAGAGAGAUAUUUUAUCCCCAUUUUAAAUUUUUUAUUUACUUAUUUAACUUUGUGUAUAUUUUAUUUCUAAAUAACAUAUACAUUUUAACAAUUAAUGCAUGUUUCAUAACAAUUCAUAUGGUUCUCUUUUCUUUUUUUGGAUUGAAACUAAAAACUAAACAGGAUUUUAGUGAUUUGGUUUAUAUUAGACAUACAUUAAAAAUUAAAUACAAAAACUAAGCAUAAAUCUGGCAAAUGAAAACAUGUUUUUAAAAGUAAAAAUAAUAACAACAAAGCAUCCUAGGAAAUAAUGACUAAAAUAACAUAGUUUUUAAGCUUCAUUUUUGGACAGCUAAUCUAUGUUGCUAUCUUUGAGAGUGAGAUUUCUAAAUAUAUUUUAGUUCUCUUUAACUGUGCUUAAUCAUACAAAGUGUGAUUGGCUUUGGAUUAAUACCAUUAUAGUUCUCAAAAACAGUUUUUCACUGAAAAACUGUGUUUGUUUUAGUCCUUGAAGCAGGAGUUAGUAGUAUAAAUGGUUUACCUCAUCAAUUUGACUAUCAGAAAAAGCAGGUCAUUCUUGUCACCUGACAGGUAAGAUUCUGCUGUCGCACUCAUUGUCCCAAGCUGGAUGAUGCUGAAGCCAUUCCAGGACAAUUCAUUGUUUUUAUCCUGUGUUUGUGUAAUUGUGAAGAAGGGGACAAGCACUUUUGUGGAUCUUUCAGGCCAGUCUCUUCUGUAUAGUUUGCUUUCUUUCUUCUAGUGAAUUGUAUCACCUAAUUUUAGCUGAAAUUAUUACUGGUUUCAUGUGACCUGGGAGAAUUAAAAAUAUUGUUCAGUAAGAAGACCCAGUCAAGAUGUUUUCCAUGCCAGCCUUAGCCGAGCCAUUUCUUAAUUGCAGCUCGUUUGGGAAUUUUAAAGUGUCAUUUUUGUUAGAGCUGGACCUGGCAAAGUCCACAGAGUCCUUCAGUAGAGUGUGAUGUGAAAUGGCAUCAUUUAAAUUAAAAAAUAAAUCUGAGAAAUGUUUCAGCCCUGAAAGUCAUGGGCGCUCAGCACCAGCUGCAGCAGCAGGGUGCAGCGCUCCCCUCCCCCUCAGUGGCUGCCCCUGUCUCUGUGCUGUCAUCUGGGCAGGGGCCAGGCCCAGGCCAC